AGUCGCUCCGCAACGGUGUGAUCUCCAACGUUGCGUUCUCCAGGAAGACGAGCCCGUGCUACCUCCAACAAAAACCUUCGUCCCUUUCUUACAUCCUUCUUUACAUAUAUGUGUUGUAUCACACAGGUCACUUCAAAUUGCAGUGUUGUAAAUUAUCUUAUUUACGGAGAGGAAUCCAGUAAGAGUACGAUAUAUUCUACCGCAUCACAGGGAAUAUAUUCCUAAAAGCAUAGAUAAGAUAACGACGACAAUCAAAUGUCAGCAAUAUGCCGGCAGAUUGGCGACAAAAUGGCAGGUUCACUUAAUCAAGGGCAGGUUGUUCCAACUCCUUAGUACAAGGAAACUAUUUGGAAGAACUUCCAGUCGGAAUCGUCCGAUUAUUUCGAAUUACUUCUACCGCGUUUUAUAGGAAAAACGGGAUAAUUCCGAUCGGCAAACGAACUCCACAAGGAACGUUGCUCCAGGCUGAAGAAACCAAACUUAGCGAGUGAUACUAUUACUGACCAGUCCGCGUU
This is a long non-coding RNA of Harpegnathos saltator (Jerdon's jumping ant), 515 nucleotides long. RefSeq lists it as uncharacterized. Lineage: Eukaryota; Metazoa; Arthropoda; Insecta; Hymenoptera; Formicidae. The record is from RefSeq and is a predicted model, not a curated record. The transcript has 3 exons.